CCUACGGGGGGCUGCAGUAGGGAAUAUUGGGCAAUGGAGGCAACUCUGACCCAGCCAUGCCGCGUGAAGGAUGAAGGUCCUACGGAUUGUAAACUUCUUUUAUUAGGGAAGAAACCCUUGAAUUCAUUCGAGGCUGACGGUACCUAAGGAAUAAGCACCGGCUAACUCCGUGCCAGCAGCCGCGGUAAUACGGAGGGUGCAAGCGUUAUCCGGAUUCACUGGGUUUAAAGGGUGCGUAGGUGGAUCGAUAAGUCAGUGGUGAAAGCCCCGAGCUCAACUUGGGAAUUGCCAUUGAUACUGUUGAUCUUGAGUGCGGUUGAGGUAGACGGAAUAUGUCAUGUAGCGGUGAAAUGCUUAGAUAUGACAUAGAACACCAAUUGCGAAGGCAGUUUACCAAGCCGAUACUGACACUGAGGCACGAAAGCGUGGGGAUCAAACAGGAUUAGAUACCCCAGUAGUC
RNAcentral lists this ribosomal RNA (460 nucleotides) under uncultured Chitinophagaceae bacterium. RNAcentral's name for it is "bacterial SSU rRNA". It matches the Rfam family "Bacterial small subunit ribosomal RNA", at positions 338 to 795 of the family's 1533-position model. Lineage: Bacteria; Pseudomonadati; Bacteroidota; Chitinophagia; Chitinophagales; Chitinophagaceae. The record is from RNAcentral.